GAUAUGUUGGUUCAAGCCUGUAGUCGUGCCUGGUAGGUAAAUCCGCCGGGCUUAGAUGAGGGGUGAUAACGAGGCUGCUUGCAGUCGAAGUGAGUGAUACCCUGCUUCCAGGAAAAGCCACUAAGCUUCAGCUACACACGACCGUACCGCAAACCGACACUGGUGCGCGAGAUGAGUAUUCUAAGGCGCUUGAGAGAACUCAGGAGAAGGAACUCGGCAAAUUGACACCGUAACUUCGGAAGAAGGUGUGCCUUUAGUAGGUGAACCUGUACAAGGGGAGCCCAAUGAGGUUGCAAAAAAUCGGUGGCUGCGACUGUUUAAUAAAAACACAGCACUCUGCAAACACGAAAGUGGACGUAUAGGGUGUGACGCCUGCCCGGUGCUGGAAGAUUAAAUGAUGGGGUGCAAGCUCUUGAUUGAAGUCCCAGUAAACGGCGGCCGUAACCAUAACGGUCCUAAGGUAGCGAAAUUCCUUGUCGGGUAAGUUCCGACCUGCACGAAUGGCGUAACGAUGGCCACACUGUCUCCUCCUGAGACUCAGCGAAGUUGAAAUGUUUGUGAUGAUGCAAUCUCCCCGCGGAAAGACGGAAAGACCCCAUGAACCUUUACUGUAGCUUUGUAUUGGACUUUGAACAGAUCUGUGUAGGAUAGGUGGGAGGCUUUGAAGUGUGGUCGCUAGAUCGCAUGGAGCCAACGUUGAAAUACCACCCUGGUGUGUUUGAGGUUCUAACCUAGGCCCGUAAUCCGGGUCGGGGACAGUGCAUGGUAGGCAGUUUAACUGGGGCGGUCUCCUCCCAAAGCGUAACGGAGGAGUUCGAAGGUACGCUAGGUACGGUCGGACAUCGUGCUAAUAGUGCAAUGGCAUAAGCGUGCUUAACUGCGAGACUGACAAGUCGAGCAGAUGCGAAAGCAGGACAUAGUGAUCCGGUGGUUCUGUAUGGAAGGGCCAUCGCUCAACGGAUAAAAGGUACUCUGGGGAUAACAGGCUGAUACCGCCCAAGAGUUCAUAUCGACGGCGGUGUUUGGCACCUCGAUGUCGGCUCAUCUCAUCCUGGGGCUGUAGCCGGUCCCAAGGGUAUGGCUGUUCGCCAUUUAAAGAGGUACGUGAGCUGGGUUUAAAACGUCGUGAGACAGUUUGGUCCCUAUCUUCCGUGGGCGCUGCAGAUUUGAGGAAGCCUGCUCCUAGUACGAGAGGACCGGAGUGGACACACCUCUGGUGUAUCGGUUGUCACGCCAGUGGCAUUGCCGAGUAGCUAUGUGUGGAAGAGAUAACCGCUGAAAGCAUCUAAGCGGGAAACUCGUUUCAAGAUGAGAUCUGCCGGGGCCUUGAGCCCCCUAAAGAGUCGUUCAAGACCAGGACGUUGAUAGGUCGGGUGUGGAAGCGCAGUAAUGCGUUAAGCUAACCGAUACUAAUUGCUCGUGCGGCUUGACCCC
Molecule: ribosomal RNA, 1434 nt
Filed under: metagenome
Description: bacterial LSU rRNA
Rfam family: Bacterial large subunit ribosomal RNA
Source: RNAcentral